ACAGUACUGUUUUAUAUAACAUUUACCAAGAAGUGUCCAGAAAUAAUAUGUUGGUACAUACUGUACAGCAGGAAUAGACAAACUAGAUUGAUUUUGGGGCCACAUUUCCAGAAAGCCGAACCCGCCCAUCCAGUAUUAUUCUUAUUUUGUAUUUUCCAGAGAACUAACAUCCUCUACAGUAGACAUUUUGGUCUAUUUAGUUUGUCAGAGUUACACGAGUGCUCUGCUGUUUUUAAAGAACUACCACAAAAAAGCUAGUCAAAGAUCAUUUCCGACAGCACUCUCGUGCACUGUGGUACAUGUUCCAGUAGUGGUACACGGGCUCCAUCAGUGGUGCGCCAAAGAAACACUGGAUUGAAGUGCAGUGUUUUUUGUUUUUAUUUUUAAACAGUGUUACUGUUCAAACUGUGUAAUGUUACAGUGACCAAAAAUACCUGUUAAAAAAAGCCUCUGUAUUGUUUUUAAUGAAUACGUAGGUCUACUACGCUACUGUAGUUCAGUGUUGAUCGUCAUGGUGGUACUUGCAGAGUCAAGUUUUUUCUGGGGUGGUACUCAAUGAAAAAAGUUUGACAAUCACUAGUCUAGUGCAGGGCCGUAACCAGGAUUUGACAAAUUCUGAGGUCAAAAAUGUGGUGGUCCAAGAGGAGCUUUUGAAAGGCUGAAAUCAUGGGUAUACAGCAGCAUAUAAACAAUAUUACCUUGAGCAACACAAUUAACAAUCCACUUUUUUUAAUUCCUAAGCUGUCAUUUAAUGUAAUAAACAGUUCAAACAUCAUUAAAAUAUCAAUUCGAAAACUUAACAUCAUUUAUACCUUGACAUGGAAUUGAACACAAGGUCUCUACUCUGUAGCUUUAGUCCUAAUGACACGUGCCACCAAGAGUUAUGAGGCAAAAUUUGUCUUCAUGUUCUAAUCAGUGACAGUGCUUCAGGGUAUAAUUUAAUGUGAAGCGCCUUGUCAUUCAAUAAUUUACAUUUGAAGUGUGUUUCUUCUCAAAAAAAACGGGCCCCCCACGGCUAACAAAGCCAUGCGGGGCGGCACCUGACAAGACAACGAUAUAAGCUAAAGUUCCAAUGGUUAUCACACGCACGAGGUGUGGUGAAAUCUACAUUUGACCCAUCUCCAUGUUCACCCCCUGGGAGGUAAGUGGAGCAAUGAGCAGCAGCGUGCGCCGCGCUCGGGAAUCAUUUUGGUGAUUUAAACCCCAAUUCCAACACUUGUAGCUGAGUGCCAAGCAGAGAGGCAACGGGUCCCAUUUUUGUAGUCUUUGGUAUAACUGCCGGGGUUUGAACUCACAACCUCCCAGUCUCAGGGCGGACACUCUAACUGCAAGGCCACUGAGCUGGUAUAAUUUAUGUUGACAGCACAUUUUGGAUUGGAUAAUGUUUAAAGUAGGGUUGUACGGUAUACCGGUAUUGGUAUAGUACCGCAAUACUAAUGAAUCAUAUUCGGUACUAUACCGCCUCUGAAAAGUACCGGUCCCCCAACCAAUUCUUGCCUCCAUGGCUACAAUUAAAGCAAGUUUCUUACAAGUAUCAUCCCUGCAGGACGAGGAAUAGCUAAACAUGCUUCACUACACACCGUAGCUCACAGGCGUCAAAACGUAAACAAACGCCAUUGGUGGAUCUAAACGUGACAUCCACUGUAAUGAUAGCAAGUACAGGAGCGUAUCCAGUCGAUACUACUAAGAUUACGUCUAUUUUUCAGCAUCACAAAAUCUUUUUUCGUUUUUCAAAAAUGUGUUUUCUCUUUAUAAACUCAGGAAAUAUGUCCCUGGACACAUGAGGACUUUAUGACCAAUGUAUGAUCCUGUAACUACUUGGUAUCGGAUCAAUACCUAAAUUUGUGGUAUCAUCCAAAACUAAUGUAAAGCAUCCAAACAACAGAAGAAUAAGUGACUACAUUUUAGCAAGAGUGUAGAUAGAACAUGUUAAAGAGAAAGUAGGCAGAUGUUAAGAGUAAAUGAACAAGCAUAUUAAUAAUUAAUUUUCUGCCGCGUUUCUUUAAUCAUUUUGACAAUAUAAUAGAAUGGAAAAUGACACAAUAUGUUACUGCAUAUGUCAGCAGCUAAAUUAGGAGCCGUUGUUUGCUUACUACUAAAAGACAAGUUGUCUUGUAUGUUCACUAUUUUAUUUAAGGACAAACCUGCAAUAAGAAAAAUAUGUUUAAUGUAUUCAAAUAUUUUUUGUUAAAAUAAAGCCAACAAUGCUCCCAAAAUAUUGGUAUCGGGGAAAACCUUAGUUUAAAGUAAAAGUGGACUGUGAACGACCCUGUUGUCGCUCGGGUUCCACUGACCACCCAGGAAGAACAUCUCUCUAGCAGGUUUGACUCUUUUAUUUUUCAAUAAAGGCAGUCUUUUGCGCCGUCGUCGCUCCCACUGCUCUCUCGUCUGUGUCUCGCUCUCCGGUCCGCUCUUUAGUCGGCCGCAUCUCCGUCUCUCGUGUCUUGCUCUCUCUUGCUUCUUGGUCGCUGUUGCCGGCUCUCCAACUCCUUUCUUGAUCUCGCCUCCUUCUCCCCUUUUAUACAUCAUAAGGAGAAAUAAUUGUUUGCCGGUGCGCGAUCCAGGCACCUGAAUUAGAUUGCGGCGGUCUCUCUCCUGGCACGCCCCGCCUCUCCGCUCGGCCGCAUUCUCCGCCUCCUUGCCGCCAUCUUGGGCAGGGCUCUAGCGCGCCCCGGCCCGUCGGCUCCGCCUUUCCACAUGGACUUUAUUACAUCACGGUGUCUGGAGUUGUAGCAGGCUGUGAAUGACCACAGAUUGUAUAGUGAGAGAGAAUGAUGUACCAUAUGGUGAUGUACAGUUUUGUCACUUAGAACAAAUACAGAGGACAUGACCUCAGUGUCCUCAAUGGUAGUUACAGCCAUGCUCUAGUGUUUUUUAACACUCGGCUGCAAAAAUGUGAGUCUCUCACAAAUUUUGUGAACUCAACUCAGUUGAAUAGCCCAAAUGACGAAAAAGAGAGGACCUAAAAUUGAACCUUGAGGAACACUACAAAAGCAGUUGAAAAAAUGACUGACUACAUCUGAUGUAAACAAGCAUAACCUUAGUUACAUAAAUCACAUUACGAUAGAAAGGAAAGGACUUAAAUGGGUGCUUUGAGGAACGCCUCAGUUAUGUAAAUCACAAGUUUGGACACCGGUGUUCUAAGUAUGCUCGCAAGGUUAAAAUGCUAAUGCAAGGAUCUGCCAAAGUGUUUACAGUGGCCCAAGUUCGUCUAUACAACAGGACUGUCAUGAUCCGCUGCCCAGAUCAUAUUUGUUUAGUUUUUGACUCCCUCAGUUUCUGUUUUGAGCACCCCUGGGUUGCCAUGACUGCAGAUUGUUUCCACCUGCCUCUGAUUUGUGUUCGGGAUGCUCACCUGUUCCUGGGCACUAAUCAGAGAGCUACUUAUUCCAUGCUUUUCGCCACACUCAGUCUGGUAUUCUUCUUUGCUUCCACACAACAGUUACAACGGCUACUUUUUUUGAUUCCUAUUAUAUGCUAAGCUUUCGCGCUGACCUUUUUCCUUAGCUUCCCGUGCUAUCGCCAUGUUUGUUUUCUUUGUUGGUACGUUGCAUGACUUAUGGACGAUAAAUCAUUUUCUUACCUGCACCUUGCCUGCAGAGUUCCCUCUGCAUCCUGGGGGAACAAUCCAUGCAGUAAAAUGCGACCCCGCCGUGACGAGGACCACUCAAGUGUUAGAAGUUUUCUGCAAAAAUGUUUGUCUACUAAGUUUUUACCUGAAUUCGGGGGGUCGGUAUCGUUUAUGGUUUUUCCCGGGCCACUAGUUAAGUAGCCCUACUAGAACCCUCACCCACGAGGAGGUAGAAGAGUUACGUGAGGCAUUUGUGGAGUUUGAUAAAGACAAAGAUGGCUUCAUAACCUGUAAAGACUUGGGUAACAUGAUGAGGACCAUGGGUUACA
Long non-coding RNA from Nerophis ophidion (straightnose pipefish), 3900 nucleotides. RefSeq lists it as uncharacterized. NCBI's taxonomy places the organism in Eukaryota, Metazoa, Chordata, Actinopteri, Syngnathiformes, Syngnathidae. The transcript is spliced from 3 exons. The record is from RefSeq and is a predicted model, not a curated record.